Molecule: ribosomal RNA, 253 nt
Filed under: uncultured Fulvimonas sp.
Lineage: Bacteria; Pseudomonadati; Pseudomonadota; Gammaproteobacteria; Lysobacterales; Rhodanobacteraceae
Description: partial 16S ribosomal RNA
Rfam family: Bacterial small subunit ribosomal RNA
Source: RNAcentral
UACGAAGGGUGCAAGCGUUAAUCGGAAUUACUGGGCGUAAAGGGUGCGUAGGCGGUUGAUUAAGUCUGCUGUGAAAUCCCCGGGCUCAACCUGGGAAUGGCAGUGGAAACUGGUGAGCUAGAGUGCGAGAGAGGAUGGUGGAAUUCCCGGUGUAGCGGUGAAAUGCGUAGAGAUCGGGAGGAACACCAGUGGCGAAGGCGGCCAUCUGGCUCGACACUGACGCUGAGGCACGAAAGCGUGGGGAGCAAACAGG